This 820-nucleotide ribosomal RNA is filed under the name Isoptericola halotolerans. Its description in RNAcentral is "partial 16S ribosomal RNA". The record is from RNAcentral. Lineage: Bacteria; Bacillati; Actinomycetota; Actinomycetes; Micrococcales; Promicromonosporaceae.
CGUGAGCUUCGGGUGUUACCAACUUUCGUGACUUGACGGGCGGUGUGUACAAGGCCCGGGAACGUAUUCACCGCAGCGUUGCUGAUCUGCGAUUACUAGCGACUCCGACUUCAUGGGGUCGAGUUGCAGACCCCAAUCCGAACUGAGACCGGCUUUCUGGGAUUCGCUCCACCUUACGGUAUCGCAGCCCUUUGUACCGGCCAUUGUAGCAUGCGUGAAGCCCAAGACAUAAGGGGCAUGAUGAUUUGACGUCAUCCCCGCCUUCCUCCGAGUUGACCCCGGCAGUCUCCCAUGAGUCCCCGGCAUAACCCGCUGGCAACAUGGGACGAGGGUUGCGCUCGUUGCGGGACUUAACCCAACAUCUCACGACACGAGCUGACGACACCAUGCACCACCUGUGCACCGACCUUGCGGAACUACCAUCUCUGGCAGCGUCCGGUGCAUGUCAAGCCUUGGUAAGGUUCUUCGCGUUGCAUCGAAUUAAUCCGCAUGCUCCGCCGCUUGUGCGGGCCCCCGUCAAUUCCUUUGAGUUUUAGCCUUGCGGCCGUACUCCCCAGGCGGGGCACUUAAUGCGUUAGCUGCGGCACGGAACUCGUGGAAUGAGCCCCACACCUAGUGCCCAACGUUUACGGCAUGGACUACCAGGGUAUCUAAUCCUGUUCGCUCCCCAUGCUUUCGCUCCUCAGCGUCAGUUGCGGCCCAGAGACCUGCCUUUCGCCAUCGGUGUUCCUCCUGAUAUCUGCGCAUUCCACCGCUACNCCAGGAAUUUCCAGUCUCCCCUACCGCAAUCUAGUCUGCCCGUACCCGAUGCACGCCCCAG